Molecule: ribosomal RNA, 463 nt
Filed under: uncultured bacterium
Lineage: Bacteria
Description: partial 16S ribosomal RNA
Rfam family: Bacterial small subunit ribosomal RNA
Source: RNAcentral
CGAACGCUGGCGGCGUGCUUAACACAUGCACGUCGAACGGAAAGGCCCCUUUGGGGGUACUCGAGUGGCGAACGGGUGAGUAACACGUGAGUAACCUGCCCUUGACUUCGGGAUAACUUCAGGAAACUGGGGCUAAUACCGGAUAGGAAUCCUUGCUGCAUGGUGGGGGUUGGAAAGCUUCGGCGGUUUUGGAUGGACUCGCGGCUUAUCAGCUUGUUGGUGGGGUAGUGGCUUACCAAGGCUUUGACGGGUAGCCGGCCUGAGAGGGCGACCGGCCACAUUGGGACUGAGAUACGGCCCAGACUCCUACGGGAGGCAGCAGUGGGGAAUAUUGCACAAUAGGCGGAAGCCUGAUGCAGCAACGCCGCGUGCGGGAUGACGGCCUUCGGGUUGUAAACCGCUUUCAGCAGGGGCGAAGCUUGUGGUGACGGUACCUGCAGAAGAAGCACCGGCUAACUACGUG